UGAUUGCCCAGGAUGCCUUCGGUCAGCGGGACCUCGGGGUGCAUGCCAGGCCCAGGGAGCAGUGUAGCCUUGAAGGGGCGCGAGCCGCCCGGCCUGCUCCCUGUCCCGCCGUGGACAGUGCAUCGGCCCCGGGGAGAGAGAGGCGCUGAUUUCCCAGGAGACCUUCGGUCAGCGGGGCCACGGGUUGGCAGCCAGGCCCAGAGAGCAGUGUAGCCUUGAAGGGGCGCGAGCCGCCCGGCCUGCUGGGUCGUGACCCGCCGUGGACAGUGCAUCGGCCCCGAGGAGAGAGGGAGGCGCUGAUUGCCCAGGAUGCCUUCGGUCAGCGGGACCUCGGGGUGCAUGCCAGGCCCAGGGAGCAGUGUAGCCUUGAAGGGGCGCGAGCCGCCCGGCCUGCUCCCUGUCCCGCCGUGGACAGUGCAUCGGCCCCGGGGAGAGAGAGGCGCUGAUUUCCCAGGAGACCUUCGGUCAGCGGGGCCACGGGUUGGCAGCCAGGCCCAGAGAGCAGUGUAGCCUUGAAGGGGCGCGAGCCGCCCGGCCUGCUGGGUCGUGACCCGCCGUGGACAGUGCAUCGGCCCCGAGGAGAGAGGGAGGCGCUGAUUGCCCAGGAUGCCUUCGGUCAGCGGGACCUCGGGGUGCAUGCCAGGCCCAGGGAGCAGUGUAGCCUUGAAGGGGCGCGAGCCGCCCGGCCUGCUCCCUGUCCCGCCGUGGACAGUGCAUCGGCCCCGGGGAGAGAGAGGCGCUGAUUUCCCAGGAGACCUUCGGUCAGCGGGGCCACGGGUUGGCAGCCAGGCCCAGAGAGCAGUGUAGCCUUGAAGGGGCGCGAGCCGCCCGGCCUGCUGGGUCGUGACCCGCCGUGGACAGUGCAUCGGCCCCGAGGAGAGAGGGAGGCGCUGAUUGCCCAGGAUGCCUUCGGUCAGCGGGACCUCGGGGUGCAUGCCAGGCCCAGGGAGCAGUGUAGCCUUGAAGGGGCGCGAGCCGCCCGGCCUGCUCCCUGUCCCGCCGUGGACAGUGCAUCGGCCCCGGGGAGAGAGAGGCGCUGAUUUCCCAGGAGACCUUCGGUCAGCGGGGCCACGGGUUGGCAGCCAGGCCCAGAGAGCAGUGUAGCCUUGAAGGGGCGCGAGCCGCCCGGCCUGCUGGGUCGUGACCCGCCGUGGACAGUGCAUCGGCCCCGAGGAGAGAGGGAGGCGCUGAUUGCCCAGGAUGCCUUCGGUCAGCGGGACCUCGGGGUGCAUGCCAGGCCCAGGGAGCAGUGUAGCCUUGAAGGGGCGCGAGCCGCCCGGCCUGCUCCCUGUCCCGCCGUGGACAGUGCAUCGGCCCCGGGGAGAGAGAGGCGCUGAUUUCCCAGGAGACCUUCGGUCAGCGGGGCCACGGGUUGGCAGCCAGGCCCAGAGAGCAGUGUAGCCUUGAAGGGGCGCGAGCCGCCCGGCCUGCUGGGUCGUGACCCGCCGUGGACAGUGCAUCGGCCCCGAGGAGAGAGGGAGGCGCUGAUUGCCCAGGAUGCCUUCGGUCAGCGGGACCUCGGGGUGCAUGCCAGGCCCAGGGAGCAGUGUAGCCUUGAAGGGGCGCGAGCCGCCCGGCCUGCUCCCUGUCCCGCCGUGGACAGUGCAUCGGCCCCGGGGAGAGAGAGGCGCUGAUUUCCCAGGAGACCUUCGGUCAGCGGGGCCACGGGUUGGCAGCCAGGCCCAGAGAGCAGUGUAGCCUUGAAGGGGCGCGAGCCGCCCGGCCUGCUGGGUCGUGACCCGCCGUGGACAGUGCAUCGGCCCCGAGGAGAGAGGGAGGCGCUGAUUGCCCAGGAUGCCUUCGGUCAGCGGGACCUCGGGGUGCAUGCCAGGCCCAGGGAGCAGUGUAGCCUUGAAGGGGCGCGAGCCGCCCGGCCUGCUCCCUGUCCCGCCGUGGACAGUGCAUCGGCCCCGGGGAGAGAGAGGCGCUGAUUUCCCAGGAGACCUUCGGUCAGCGGGGCCACGGGUUGGCAGCCAGGCCCAGAGAGCAGUGUAGCCUUGAAGGGGCGCGAGCCGCCCGGCCUGCUGGGUCGUGACCCGCCGUGGACAGUGCAUCGGCCCCGAGGAGAGAGGGAGGCGCUGAUUGCCCAGGAUGCCUUCGGUCAGCGGGACCUCGGGGUGCAUGCCAGGCCCAGGGAGCAGUGUAGCCUUGAAGGGGCGCGAGCCGCCCGGCCUGCUCCCUGUCCCGCCGUGGACAGUGCAUCGGCCCCGGGGAGAGAGAGGCGCUGAUUUCCCAGGAGACCUUCGGUCAGCGGGGCCACGGGUUGGCAGCCAGGCCCAGAGAGCAGUGUAGCCUUGAAGGGGCGCGAGCCGCCCGGCCUGCUGGGUCGUGACCCGCCGUGGACAGUGCAUCGGCCCCGAGGAGAGAGGGAGGCGCUGAUUGCCCAGGAUGCCUUCGGUCAGCGGGACCUCGGGGUGCAUGCCAGGCCCAGGGAGCAGUGUAGCCUUGAAGGGGCGCGAGCCGCCCGGCCUGCUCCCUGUCCCGCCGUGGACAGUGCAUCGGCCCCGGGGAGAGAGAGGCGCUGAUUUCCCAGGAGACCUUCGGUCAGCGGGGCCACGGGUUGGCAGCCAGGCCCAGAGAGCAGUGUAGCCUUGAAGGGGCGCGAGCCGCCCGGCCUGCUGGGUCGUGACCCGCCGUGGACAGUGCAUCGGCCCCGAGGAGAGAGGGAGGCGCUGAUUGCCCAGGAUGCCUUCGGUCAGCGGGACCUCGGGGUGCAUGCCAGGCCCAGGGAGCAGUGUAGCCUUGAAGGGGCGCGAGCCGCCCGGCCUGCUCCCUGUCCCGCCGUGGACAGUGCAUCGGCCCCGGGGAGAGAGAGGCGCUGAUUUCCCAGGAGACCUUCGGUCAGCGGGGCCACGGGUUGGCAGCCAGGCCCAGAGAGCAGUGUAGCCUUGAAGGGGCGCGAGCCGCCCGGCCUGCUGGGUCGUGACCCGCCGUGGACAGUGCAUCGGCCCCGAGGAGAGAGGGAGGCGCUGAUUGCCCAGGAUGCCUUCGGUCAGCGGGACCUCGGGGUGCAUGCCAGGCCCAGGGAGCAGUGUAGCCUUGAAGGGGCGCGAGCCGCCCGGCCUGCUCCCUGUCCCGCCGUGGACAGUGCAUCGGCCCCGGGGAGAGAGAGGCGCUGAUUUCCCAGGAGACCUUCGGUCAGCGGGGCCACGGGUUGGCAGCCAGGCCCAGAGAGCAGUGUAGCCUUGAAGGGGCGCGAGCCGCCCGGCCUGCUGGGUCGUGACCCGCCGUGGACAGUGCAUCGGCCCCGAGGAGAGAGGGAGGCGCUGAUUGCCCAGGAUGCCUUCGGUCAGCGGGACCUCGGGGUGCAUGCCAGGCCCAGGGAGCAGUGUAGCCUUGAAGGGGCGCGAGCCGCCCGGCCUGCUCCCUGUCCCGCCGUGGACAGUGCAUCGGCCCCGGGGAGAGAGAGGCGCUGAUUUCCCAGGAGACCUUCGGUCAGCGGGGCCACGGGUUGGCAGCCAGGCCCAGAGAGCAGUGUAGCCUUGAAGGGGCGCGAGCCGCCCGGCCUGCUGGGUCGUGACCCGCCGUGGACAGUGCAUCGGCCCCGAGGAGAGAGGGAGGCGCUGAUUGCCCAGGAUGCCUUCGGUCAGCGGGACCUCGGGGUGCAUGCCAGGCCCAGGGAGCAGUGUAGCCUUGAAGGGGCGCGAGCCGCCCGGCCUGCUCCCUGUCCCGCCGUGGACAGUGCAUCGGCCCCGGGGAGAGAGAGGCGCUGAUUUCCCAGGAGACCUUCGGUCAGCGGGGCCACGGGUUGGCAGCCAGGCCCAGAGAGCAGUGUAGCCUUGAAGGGGCGCGAGCCGCCCGGCCUGCUGGGUCGUGACCCGCCGUGGACAGUGCAUCGGCCCCGAGGAGAGAGGGAGGCGCUGAUUGCCCAGGAUGCCUUCGGUCAGCGGGACCUCGGGGUGCAUGCCAGGCCCAGGGAGCAGUGUAGCCUUGAAGGGGCGCGAGCCGCCCGGCCUGCUCCCUGUCCCGCCGUGGACAGUGCAUCGGCCCCGGGGAGAGAGAGGCGCUGAUUUCCCAGGAGACCUUCGGUCAGCGGGGCCACGGGUUGGCAGCCAGGCCCAGAGAGCAGUGUAGCCUUGAAGGGGCGCGAGCCGCCCGGCCUGCUGGGUCGUGACCCGCCGUGGACAGUGCAUCGGCCCCGAGGAGAGAGGGAGGCGCUGAUUGCCCAGGAUGCCUUCGGUCAGCGGGACCUCGGGGUGCAUGCCAGGCCCAGGGAGCAGUGUAGCCUUGAAGGGGCGCGAGCCGCCCGGCCUGCUCCCUGUCCCGCCGUGGACAAUGCAUCGGCCCCGGGGAGAGAGAGGCGCUGAUUUCCCAGGAGACCUUCGGUCAGCGGGGCCACGGGUUGGCAGCCAGGCCCAGAGAGCAGUGUAGCCUUGAAGGGGCGCGAGCCGCCCGGCCUGCUGGGUCGUGACCCGCCGUGGACAGUGCAUCGGCCCCGAGGAGAGAGGGAGGCGCUGAUUGCCCAGGAUGCCUUCGGUCAGCGGGACCUCGGGGUGCAUGCCAGGCCCAGGGAGCAGUGUAGCCUUGAAGGGGCGCGAGCCGCCCGGCCUGCUCCCUGUCCCGCCGUGGACAGUGCAUCGGCCCCGGGGAGA
Dipodomys spectabilis (banner-tailed kangaroo rat) is the source of this 4592-nucleotide long non-coding RNA. RefSeq lists it as uncharacterized. The transcript is spliced from 31 exons. The record is from RefSeq and is a predicted model, not a curated record. Lineage: Eukaryota; Metazoa; Chordata; Mammalia; Rodentia; Heteromyidae.